GAUGAACGCUGGCGGCGUGCCUAAUACAUGCAAGUCGAACGCACAGCGAAAGGUGCUUGCACCUUUCAAGCGAGUGGCGAACGGGUGAGUAACACGUGGACAACCUGCCUCAAGGCUGGGGACAACAUGUGGAAACAGACGCUAAUACCGAAGAAAACUCAGUGUCGCAUGACACAAAGUUAAAAGGCGCUUUGGCGCAACCUAGAGAUGGAUCCGCGGGGCAUUAGUGAGUUGGUGGGGUAAAGGCCUACCAAGACAAUGAUGCAUAGCCGAGUUGAGAGACUGAUCGGCCACAUUGGGACUGAGACACGGCCCAAACUCCUACGGGAGGCUGCAGUAGGGAAUCUUCCACAAUGGGCGAAAGCCUGAUGGAGCAACGCCGCGUGUGUGAUGAAGGUUUUCGGGUCGUAAAGCACUGUUGUAUGGGAAGAACAGCUAGAAUAGGGAAUGAUUUUAGUUUGACGGUACCAUACCAGAAAGGGACGGCUAAAUACGUGCCAGCCGCCGCCGUAA
RNAcentral lists this ribosomal RNA (513 nucleotides) under uncultured bacterium. Its description in RNAcentral is "partial 16S ribosomal RNA". It matches the Rfam family "Bacterial small subunit ribosomal RNA", at positions 28 to 523 of the family's 1533-position model. The record is from RNAcentral.